RNAcentral lists this unclassified non-coding RNA (202 nucleotides) under Hevea brasiliensis (rubber tree). The record is from RNAcentral. Lineage: Eukaryota; Viridiplantae; Streptophyta; Magnoliopsida; Malpighiales; Euphorbiaceae.
CAUCGUGCUAGGUGACGCACGCACGAACAAUCUCAACCCGCGUGCGGACAUCCUGCGCCGUAUCUCGGAGAGGUCGAAGCGGGUUGUUUGGCUCAAUCCCGAAGGGCGCAUGAUCUGGGGCAUGGGCGAUUCCGAGAUGCCGCGAUACGCAACGUAUUGCAGCGUCGUGCGCCAAUGCUCUACGGCACGGCAACUCGAACGC